Molecule: ribosomal RNA, 253 nt
Filed under: uncultured bacterium
Lineage: Bacteria
Description: partial 16S ribosomal RNA
Rfam family: Bacterial small subunit ribosomal RNA
Source: RNAcentral
UACGUAGGGGGCAAGCGUUGUCCGGAUUUAUUGGGCGUAAAGAGCGUGUAGGCGGUUAGGUAGGUCCGUUGUGAAAACUCGAGGCUCAACCUCGAGACGCCGAUGGAAACCAUCUGACUAGAGUCCGGAAGAGGAGAGUGGAAUUCCUGGUGUAGCGGUGAAAUGCGCAGAUAUCUGGAGGAACACCGGUGGCGAAGGCGGCAUCCUGGACCAACACUGACGCUGAGGAGCGAAAGCCAGGGGAGCAAACGGG